CUACGGGGCGCUCCAGUGAGGAAUAUUGCACAAUGGAGGAAACUCUGAUGCAGCAACGCCGCGUGGAGGAUGACACUUUUCGGAGCGUAAACUCCUUUUAUAUAGGAAGAAGAUGACGGUACUAUAUGAAUAAGCGCCGGCUAACUCCGUGCCAGCAGCCGCGGUAAUACAGAGGGCGCAAGCGUUACUCGGAAUCACUGGGCGUAAAGAGCGUGUAGGCGGAUUAAAAAGUCAGAAGUGAAAUCCUAUAGCUUAACUAUAGAACUGCUUCUGAAACUCUUAAUCUAGAAUAUGGGAGAGGUAGAUGGAAUUUCUGGUGUAGGGGUAAAAUCCGUAGAGAUCAGAAGGAAUACCGAUUGCGAAGGCGAUCUACUAGAACAUUAUUGACGCUGAGACGCGAAAGCGUGGGGAGCAAACAGGAUUAGAUACCCCCGUAGUC
Molecule: ribosomal RNA, 439 nt
Filed under: uncultured bacterium
Lineage: Bacteria
Description: partial 16S ribosomal RNA
Rfam family: Bacterial small subunit ribosomal RNA
Source: RNAcentral